GACAGAGGGUGCAAGCGUUGUUCGGAAUCACUGGGCGUAAAGGGCGUGUAGGCGGCAGGGUGUGUCUGAUGUGAAAGCCCACGGCUCAACCGUGGAAGUGCAUCGGAAACUACCUUGCUCGAGUACGAGAGAGGGUGGCGGAAUUCCAAGUGUAGAGGUGAAAUUCGUAGAUAUUUGGAGGAACACCAGUGGCGAAGGCGGCCACCUGGCUCGUAACUGACGCUGAUACGCGAAAGCGUGGGUAGCAAACAGG
RNAcentral lists this ribosomal RNA (253 nucleotides) under uncultured bacterium. Its description in RNAcentral is "partial 16S ribosomal RNA". It matches the Rfam family "Bacterial small subunit ribosomal RNA", at positions 524 to 776 of the family's 1533-position model. The record is from RNAcentral.